GGGAAACUCACCAGGUCCAGACACAAUAAGGAUUGACAGAUUGAGAGCUCUUUCUUGAUUUUGUGGGUGGUGGUGCAUGGCCGUUCUUAGUUGAUGGAGUGAUUUGUCUGCUUAAUUGCGAUAACGAACGAGACCUUAACCUGCUAAAUAGCCAGGCCCGCUUUGGCGGGUCGCCGGCUUCUUAGAGGGACUAUCGGCUCAAGCCGAUGGAAGUUUGAGGCAAUAA
RNAcentral lists this ribosomal RNA (226 nucleotides) under uncultured eukaryote. RNAcentral describes it as "partial 18S ribosomal RNA". It matches the Rfam family "Eukaryotic small subunit ribosomal RNA", at positions 1208 to 1456 of the family's 1831-position model. The record is from RNAcentral.